RNAcentral lists this ribosomal RNA (504 nucleotides) under uncultured bacterium. RNAcentral describes it as "partial 16S ribosomal RNA". It matches the Rfam family "Bacterial small subunit ribosomal RNA", at positions 28 to 523 of the family's 1533-position model. The record is from RNAcentral.
GAUAAACGCUAGCGGCAGGCUUAACACAUGCAAGUCGAGGGGCAGCAUAGAUUGUAGCAAUACAAUUGGUGGCGACCGGCGCACGGGCGCGUAACGCGUAUGCAACCUACCCGUCACAGGGGGAUAAUCCGGAGAAAUCUGGUCUAAUACCCCAUAACAUAUGGAUCGGCAUCGGUUCAUGUUGAAAUUUUCGGAGGUGACGGAUGGGCAUGCGUAGCAUUAGCUUGUUGGUGAGGUAACGGCUCACCAAGGCGACGAUGCUUAGGGGGACUGAGAGGUUUUCCCCCCACACUGGUACUGAGACACGGACCAGACUCCUACGGGAGGCAGCAGUGAGGAAUAUUGGUCAAUGGGCGCAAGCCUGAACCAGCCAUGCCGCGUGCAGGAUGACGGCUCUAUGAGUUGUAAACUGCUUUUGUACGAGGGUAAAGUGGGUUGCGUGUAACCUUUUGAAAGUAUCGUACGAAUAAGGAUCGGCUAACUCCGUGCCAGCCGCCGCGGUAA